UGUAUGAUGUUGGCCACAGAGUGCCCCC
Molecule: non-coding RNA, 28 nt
Filed under: Homo sapiens (human)
Lineage: Eukaryota; Metazoa; Chordata; Mammalia; Primates; Hominidae
Source: RNAcentral